Molecule: non-coding RNA, 561 nt
Organism: Phascolarctos cinereus (koala)
Lineage: Eukaryota; Metazoa; Chordata; Mammalia; Diprotodontia; Phascolarctidae
Source: RefSeq, a predicted model, not a curated record
CUUUCAAAUACAGGACUCAAGUGGAACAUAAAGAGGCCUCCACAAGCAAUGCUGAAACCCAUCUACCAGGAAGAGAAAUCAGGGCGCUGGGAUCGCCGUGAUGGGGAGCCGGCACUUCACAGAUGCCUUGGAUUACUGGCAUGCCCCACUGCCUUGUCAGAGCCCUGCGCAUUUAAAAAAAAAAAGACUGAAGAAGAAAAAAAAGGUGGCAUUUUCAGAGUGAUGGAAUAUUGCUGGUAAAAGAGGAAGAUUCUGUCCUUGAAGAGUCAGAAUCCCCCGCGCCAUCGGAGGUCAUUAACCUUGAGAUGUGGGUUUCACCUGGACAAACCUUUUUGUUAUAUGCCGUGCCUCCUGAUUUUCUUCAACAGCUGACAAGAGUACCCUGAUACAAGAGAUGUUCCCUUGGUCACUGGCAACACAGGAGAACAGGGAGGCAAAAAAUCAUCAAAGUCAACAAAGUAACCAGCCUCACUAGAGGUAUUCAGUUUCGUGCUCUCCUUGAUAUCAACAUAGUCAACUGGUGAGUAUAAAAAACCAAUUCAGAAAUCUGAGUAUGAAGCA